This 253-nucleotide ribosomal RNA is filed under the name uncultured bacterium. Its description in RNAcentral is "partial 16S ribosomal RNA". It matches the Rfam family "Bacterial small subunit ribosomal RNA", at positions 524 to 776 of the family's 1533-position model. The record is from RNAcentral.
UACAGAGGUCUCAAGCGUUGUUCGGAUUCAUUGGGCGUAAAGGGUGCGUAGGUGGCGCCAUAAGUCAGGCGUGAAAUCUCGGGGCUUAACUCCGAAACUGCAUUUGAUACUGUGGUGCUUGAGGACUGGAGAGGAGACUGGAAUUCACGGUGUAGCAGUGAAAUGCGUAGAUAUCGUGAGGAAGACCAGUGGCGAAGGCGGGUCUCUGGACAGUUCCUGACACUGAGGCACGAAGGCCAGGGGAGCAAACGGG